GUGGGGAAUCUUGCGCAAUGGGCGAAAGCCUGACGCAGUCAUGCCGCGUGAAUGAUGAAGGUCUUAGGAUUGUAAAAUUCUUUCACCGGGGACGAUAAUGACGGUACCCGGAGAAGAAGCUCCGGCUAACUUCGUGCCAGCAGCCGCGGUAAUACGAAGGGGGCUAGCGUUGCUCGGAAUUACUGGGCGUAAAGGGCGCGUAGGCGGACAGCUUAGUCAGAGGUGCAAGCCCAGGGCUCAACCUUGGAAUUGCCUUUGAUACUGGCUGUCUUGAGUUUGGGAGAGGUGAGUGGAACUCCGAGUGUAGAGGUGAAAUUCGUAGAUAUUCGGAAGAACACCAGUGGCGAAGGCGACUCACUGGCCCAAUACUGACGCUGAGGCGCGAAAGCGUGGGGAGCAAACAGGAUUAGAAACCCCAGUAGUCC
RNAcentral lists this ribosomal RNA (425 nucleotides) under uncultured bacterium. RNAcentral's name for it is "partial 16S ribosomal RNA". It matches the Rfam family "Bacterial small subunit ribosomal RNA", at positions 354 to 796 of the family's 1533-position model. The record is from RNAcentral.